AAUAGAUACCCGGGUAGUCCACGCCGUAAACGAUGAGUGCUAAGUGUUAGAGGGUUUCCGCCCUUUAGUGCUGCAGCUAACGCAUUAAGCACUCCGCCUGGGGAGUACGGUCGCAAGACUGAAACUCAAAGGAAUUGACGGGGGCCCGCACAAGCGGUGGAGCAUGUGGUUUAAUUCGAAGCAACGCGAAGAACCUUACCAGGUCUUGACAUCCUCUGACAACUCUAGAGAUAGAGCGUUCCCCUUCGGGGGACAGAGUGACAGGUGGUGCAUGGUUGUCGUCAGCUCGUGUCGUGAGGUGUUGGGUUAAGUCCCGCAACGAGCGCAACCCUUGAUCUUAGUUGCCAGCAUUCAGUUGGGGCACUCUAAGGUGACGUGCCGGUGACAAACCGGAGGAAGGUGGGGAUGACGUCAAAUCAUCAUGCCCCUUAUGACCUGGGCUACACACGUGCUACAAUGGAUGGUACAAAGAGCUGCGAACCCGCGAGGGUAAGCCAAUCUCAUAAAGCCAUUCUCAGUUCGGAUUGU
This 528-nucleotide ribosomal RNA is filed under the name uncultured bacterium. RNAcentral describes it as "bacterial SSU rRNA". It matches the Rfam family "Bacterial small subunit ribosomal RNA", at positions 777 to 1301 of the family's 1533-position model. The record is from RNAcentral.